Molecule: ribosomal RNA, 433 nt
Filed under: uncultured bacterium
Lineage: Bacteria
Description: partial 16S ribosomal RNA
Rfam family: Bacterial small subunit ribosomal RNA
Source: RNAcentral
AACGAACGCUGGCGGCAUGCCUAACACAUGCAAGUCGAACGAGACCUUCGGGUCUAGUGGCGCACGGGUGCGUAACGCGUGGGAACCUGCCCUUAGGUUCGGAAUAACUCCCCGAAAGGGGUGCUAAUACCGGAUAAUGUCUUCGGACCAAAGAUUUAUCGCCUUUGGAUGGGCCCGCGUUGGAUUAGCUAGUUGGUAGGGUAAAAGCCUACCAAGGCGACGAUCCAUAGCUGGUCUGAGAGGAUGAUUAGCCACACUGGGACUGAGACACGGCCCAGACUCCUACGGGAGGCAGCAGUGGGGAAUAUUGGACAAUGGGCGAAAGCCUGAUCCAGAAAUGCCGCGUGAGUGAUGAAGGCCUUAGGGUUGUAAAGCUCUUUUACCCGGGAUGAUAAUGACAGUACCGGGAGAAUAAGCUCCGGCUAACUCCGUG